UAAUACAUGCAAGUAGAACGUUGAAGGAGGAGCUUGCUUCUCCGGAUGAGUUGCGAACGGGUGAGUAACGCGUAGGUAACCUGCCUGGUAGCGGGGGAUAACUAUUGGAAACGAUAGCUAAUACCGCAUAAUAGCAGUUAUUGCAUGAUAACUGUUGAAAGGUGCAAUUGCACCACUACCAGAUGGACUUGCGUUGUAUUAGCUAGUUGGUGGGGUAACGGCUCACCAAGGCGACGAUACAUAGCCGACCUGAGAGGGUGAUCGGCCACAUCUGGGACUGAGACACGGCCCAGACUCCUACGGGAGGCAGCAGUAGGGAAUAUUCGGCAAUGGACGGAAGUCUGACCGAGCAACGCCGCGUGAGUGAAGAAGGUUUUCGGAUUCGUAAAGCUCUGUUGUAAGAGAAGAAGA
Molecule: ribosomal RNA, 411 nt
Filed under: Streptococcus mitis
Lineage: Bacteria; Bacillati; Bacillota; Bacilli; Lactobacillales; Streptococcaceae
Description: bacterial SSU rRNA
Rfam family: Bacterial small subunit ribosomal RNA
Source: RNAcentral